Molecule: transfer RNA, 72 nt
Filed under: Ustilago bromivora
Lineage: Eukaryota; Fungi; Basidiomycota; Ustilaginomycetes; Ustilaginales; Ustilaginaceae
Rfam family: tRNA
About the family: Transfer RNA (tRNA) molecules are approximately 80 nucleotides in length. Their secondary structure includes four short double-helical elements and three loops (D, anti-codon, and T loops).
Source: RNAcentral
GGGGCCGUAGCUCAGUGGUAGAGCGUCUCAUUUGCAUUGAGAAAGUCUAGGGUUCAAUCCCCUACUGCUCCA